GCAAGUCGAACGGUAACGCGGAGCGCUUGCUCUCUGGCGACGAGUGGCGGACGGGAGAGUAACGCGUAGGAAUCUGCCUAGUAGUGGGGGAAAACCUGGGGAAACCUAAGCUAAUACCGCAUACGCCCUAAGGGGGAAAGCGGGGGAUCUUCGGACCUCGCGCUAUUAGAGGAGCCUGCGUCGGAUUAGCUAGUUGGUGGGGUAAAGGCCUACCAAGGCGACGAUCCGUAGCUGGUCUGAGAGGAUGAUC
This 250-nucleotide ribosomal RNA is filed under the name uncultured bacterium. RNAcentral's name for it is "partial 16S ribosomal RNA". It matches the Rfam family "Bacterial small subunit ribosomal RNA", at positions 57 to 305 of the family's 1533-position model. The record is from RNAcentral.